UCUAGCGGUGUGAGGCAUUUUAAGUUUUGAUCUUAAAGGUUAUUCUGGAUUUUUAUUAGAUA
Molecule: transfer RNA, 62 nt
Filed under: Symphylella sp. YG-2006
Lineage: Eukaryota; Metazoa; Arthropoda; Symphyla; Scolopendrellidae
Description: tRNA-Gln
Source: RNAcentral